AACGCUAGCUACAGGCUUAACACAUGCAAGUCGGGGGGCAGCGCAGUGUAGCAAUACAUGGGCGGCGACCGGCGCACGGGUGCGUAACGCGUAUCCAACCUUCCCGUUACUCAGGGAUAGCCUUCCGAAAGGGAGAUUAAUACCUGAUGGUAUUCAAAUUUCGCAUGUUAUUUGAAUUAAAGAUUUAUCGGUAACGGAUGGGGAUGCGUGACAUUAGGUAGAUGGCGGGGUAACGGCCCACCAUGCCUACGAUGUCUAGGGGUUCUGAGAGGAAGGUCCCCCACACUGGAACUGAGACACGGUCCAGACUCCUACGGGAGGCAGCAGUGAGGAAUAUUGGUCAAUGGUCGGAAGACUGAACCAGCCAAGUAGCGUGAAGGAUGAAGGUUCUAUGGAUUGUAAACUUCUUUUAUACGGGAAUAAAACCACCUACGUGUAGGUGCUUGUAUGUACCGUAUGAAUAAGCAUCGGCUAACUCCGUGCCAGCAGCCGCGGUAAUACGGAGGAUGCGAGCGUUAUCCGGAUUUAUUGGGUUUAAAGGGAGCGUAGACGGGGGAUUAAGUCAGUUGUGAAAGGCUGCGGCUCAACCGCAGCACUGCAGUUGAUACUGGUUUCCUUGAGUGCGGUUGAGGUGUAUGGAAUUCGUGGUGUAGCGGUGAAAUGCUUAGAUAUCACGAAGAACUCCGAUUG
RNAcentral lists this ribosomal RNA (690 nucleotides) under uncultured bacterium. Its description in RNAcentral is "bacterial SSU rRNA". It matches the Rfam family "Bacterial small subunit ribosomal RNA", at positions 32 to 715 of the family's 1533-position model. The record is from RNAcentral.